AUGUCUCUUUUGGAGAACCAGGACCACAUUCCUCUGUCCAAAGAUCUGGUGAUCAGGACUGGGAUCUGGGAGGAUGUCCCCUCUGGUCUCUGUGCUCUGCCUGUGCUGACCCAGCCCCCAUCUGCAUAUUCCUCCCUUGAAGCCUCAGCCAAGCUCACCUGUACCCUGAGCAGUGAGCACAGCACUUACUCCAUCCACUGUAUCAACAGCCCAGGGAAGACCCUUGGGUAUGUCACGAAGGUUAACAGUGAUGGGAGCCACAGUAAGAAGGACUGGAUUCCUGACCUCUUCUUGGGCUCCAGUUCUGUGGCUGACCCAUACUUAUCCAUCUCCAACAUUCAAUCUGUGGAGGAGGCUGAGUAUCAUUGUCGUGAGAGCUGUACAGUUGAUGGACAGGGCGGGUAA
Molecule: non-coding RNA, 405 nt
Organism: Equus quagga
Lineage: Eukaryota; Metazoa; Chordata; Mammalia; Perissodactyla; Equidae
Source: the annotation of a RefSeq genome assembly